UACGGAGGGGGCGAGCGUUAAUCGGAAUUACUGGGCGUAAAGCGCACGUAGGCGGUUGGGUAAGUCGGAUGUGAAAGCCCUGGGCUUAACCUGGGAACUGCCUUCGAUACUGCUCGGCUAGAGUAUGGGAGAGGGAAGCGGAAUUUCCGGUGUAGCGGUGAAAUGCGUAGAUAUCGGAAGGAACGCCAAUGGCGAAGGCAGCUUCCUGUCCCAAUACUGACGCUCAGGUGCGAAAGCGUGGGGAUCAAACAGG
This 253-nucleotide ribosomal RNA is filed under the name uncultured bacterium. RNAcentral's name for it is "partial 16S ribosomal RNA". It matches the Rfam family "Bacterial small subunit ribosomal RNA", at positions 524 to 776 of the family's 1533-position model. The record is from RNAcentral.